Molecule: ribosomal RNA, 406 nt
Filed under: uncultured bacterium
Lineage: Bacteria
Description: partial 16S ribosomal RNA
Rfam family: Bacterial small subunit ribosomal RNA
Source: RNAcentral
AUUGAACGCUGGCGGCAGGCCUAACACAUGCAAGUCGAACGAGUGGCGGACGGGUGAGUAAUGUCUGGGAAACUGCCUGAUGGAGGGGGAUAACUACUGGAAACGGUAGCUAAUACCGCAUACCAUCGGAUGUGCCCAGAUGGGAUUAGCUAGUAGGUGGGGUAACGGCUCACCUAGGCGACGAUCCCUAGCUGGUCUGAGAGGGUGACCAGCCAAUCUGGAACGGGAAAAGGGUGCAGACGCCUACGGGAGGCAGGCGUGGGGAAUAUUGCACAAUGGGCGCAAGCCUGAUGCAGACAGGCCGCGGGUAUGAAGAAGGCCUUCGGGGUGUAAAGUACGUUCAGCGGGGAGGCGUUACCCGCAGAAGAAGCACCGGCUAACUCCGUGCCAGCAGCCGCGGUAAUUC